CCCUUAGACGUUCUGGGCCGCACGCGCGCUACACUGACGAAGGCAACGAGCUUUCCUUUACCGAAAGGUACGGGUAAUCUUUUGAAACUUCGUCGUGCUGGGGAUAGAUCCUUGCAAUUAUUGAUCUUAAACGAGGAAUUCCUAGUAAGCGCAAGUCAUCAACUUGCGUUGAUUACGUCCCUGCCCUUUGUACACACCGCCCGUCGCUACUACCGAUUGAAUGGUUUAGUGAGGCCUUCGGAUCCGCGACUCGUUUGUGGAGAAGUUGGACAAACUCAGUCAUUUAGAGGAAGUAAAAGUCGUAACA
This 307-nucleotide ribosomal RNA is filed under the name uncultured eukaryote. Its description in RNAcentral is "partial 18S ribosomal RNA". It matches the Rfam family "Eukaryotic small subunit ribosomal RNA", at positions 1470 to 1796 of the family's 1831-position model. The record is from RNAcentral.